ACCAAAAAUGUGUUCACAAAAUAUAAAAGAUCAAACUACCUAAAGGAGAAACUUGAAAGUAAAAGCUACGAAUAUGACUAUGGAGUCUUCAGGCGUCUCCUUCGUUGUCCUCCUGCGAAACCGGCUCGGGAAUAAUGUCUUCCUGAUCUGAAAUAAUUAAAUAAGGAAUGAGCUACACUAGCCCAGUAAAGACAUCACGAUAUCUCAUCGUCACGGAGGUAAAGGUGGGUAGAAAACACAAAAAGACCAAUGGAGCAUAAUUUACAACAAAUUCUUU
Molecule: long non-coding RNA, 277 nt
Filed under: Carica papaya (papaya)
Lineage: Eukaryota; Viridiplantae; Streptophyta; Magnoliopsida; Brassicales; Caricaceae
Description: long non-coding RNA (CPAP_LNC005716)
Source: RNAcentral